This 57-nucleotide transfer RNA is filed under the name Heterorhabditis bacteriophora. RNAcentral describes it as "tRNA-Trp". RNAcentral also lists the same sequence under 1 other name. The record is from RNAcentral. Lineage: Eukaryota; Metazoa; Nematoda; Chromadorea; Rhabditida; Heterorhabditidae.
ACAGAUAUAAGUUAAGUUUAAACUAUCAAUCUUCAAAAUUGGAAAUUUUAGUCUGUA